Molecule: long non-coding RNA, 2920 nt
Filed under: Homo sapiens (human)
Lineage: Eukaryota; Metazoa; Chordata; Mammalia; Primates; Hominidae
Description: HSALNT0062096
Rfam family: Small nucleolar RNA U13 (bases 1764-1868)
Source: RNAcentral
GCAGCCGGAAGGGGCCAGAUCACACAGGGCUUUGUAACCAGAAGAAGGAGGUGGACGUUUCUUCUAAGUGGGAGUCCUAAGGGAUCUGAUUGCUGAUUUUUAAGAGGUCAGUGUUUCUGUUUUGUGGAGAGAAGAUUGAACAGAAGCAGAAAUGAAAGCAGAACACCCAUUAAGAGAUUCUUGCGUUGAGAGCGAGGCUGCUUGAACUACAAGAUCUCAAACAUUUUGUGGGCCAUUACAAAGCUCAUGUCCCCUAUGUCUGUGGGGCCUAAUGAUUCAAACAGCCGUGACCAGGCCUGCCUGUGUGGCCCAGCCUGGCUGGCAUUCAAGUGAAUAACAUCAUCUCCAUCUCACUGCACAGAAGUAUGAACUGCGGUGUCAGCAGGUUUCCAUGACACCACCGGUGAUGUAGAGCACACAUCUCUCCCACACUCUGCUGGUUACCAGGCCCUGGCAGUACAGACCAGGCCUCCUGGGUUGCCUUCCUCCUUCCGGCUCACAGGUUCCUCUUCACUCCCAUGCUCUGCUCCCCAGACCUCUGGCCCAGAAGGAGUGACCCAGAGCCUGAGGCAGGAGAAAUUUUGAGGCGGAGACUGGAGCUGAGGAUGAGGCCCAGGCCCGGCUAGAGAGAAAACACUGAGAAGGGACUGAGGCCCCCACAUGCUGGAAUCUUGUGAAAAGAGGUGAAGGCAAAGCUGGGGAUGAGAGAGAGAAGACGGAGCAGGAGAUUAGCAAGGAAAUAAGGUGGGGAAACAGCUGGGAAGACAGACAUGCAUCUGGAAGAUUCCAGAAAAGGCCAUUUCAUCCAGCCCUGCUCCAGCAGUUUGUAUUUCAGCAGCCUCACGGGACACCUGGCCUUUCCUUUCUGACAUCGUUCUCCAUCCAUCCAGCACCUCUUGGAGAUCACAAGGGGCUCUCCACAUGAGACUUUUGAAACUAAGAAAUAGAUUUGGGUGUUGCACGUGUUUGCUCUGGAGCCACAUUGCUUGGGCUCAAAUCCCAGAUCCAUGGCUUCAUCACCUAUGAACCUUGGGCACAUUUCCCCACAUGCCUGUGCCUCAGUUUCCUCAGCUGUGAAAUGGAGUGAUAAUAGUUCCUACUUUUACUGAGUCAUUGUGACGUUUUCUGUGAAAGGCCUAACAUAUGAAAAGCACUCCAUAAAUGUUUAGCUAUUAUUAUUUCAAGGAAUUGUAAAAACAGGAUCACAAAAUUGUGGAAUAUCAUUAAUGUUUACAUUUAACAAAUUAUACCCUUUAAUUCAGAAAAUGCAAUGGCAUAUAACUGUGGUAUUUACAGGUAAUAUAGAAGUUAAGGUUUUUUCUAUAUAAUUAACUUAUAGCACCCUAGAGGUAGGAUGGUUCAGUCAUGGGACGUGAGUUUAGAGCUGAAUGAGAAGUAUCUGUGUUAUGACUGUAUUUAUAACCUCAUUUGGAAGCAACGUUAAAAGCCUAAAUUUGAGAUCCUUUGUAAAUGUUUGUCUCCAAGCCAAAUGCUUUUUCCUGGUCCCCUUCCUGACUCAUGCUCCCACCCCCGUUCAUAUCUUAAAAUGAUUAGGGCAGAAAAGGGUGGGGGAGUUGGAAUAGACUCUACUUCCUGCCUCUCUGAUUUUACAAUUAGAUUAACAGGGCAUAAGGCCUUUACCUCUACAACUGGAUGAUUUAUAGUUUUAUAUAUAUUACACACACACACACACACACACACACACACACACAGAGAAAGAGAGAGAGACAGAGAGAGAUAUUCAGCCUAAUAUGUCAGUAUAGAUCCUUUUGCAAUUCAUGAGCAUGAUGAUGUGGUAUCACACUUACGUGUGAGAUGUGCCUCCCUCAAACCUUCUUCCUACAGGUUGGCACUUUGCCCACCUGACAUGAAAAAAGAAGUCAAUGUAGAAGGAGAGGUAAUACAAGGCUAAAACUCACUUGUCCUGUAAACAACUGAAGACAAGCCAGUCUUUGAGAUGAAAGCCUGCAGGUGCUAGCCAAAAGAGAAGGGUGGGGAGGACAGGUAAACUUUCCCUACCUUACAAUUUGGUUUUUACUCACAUAUGCCCAAUAGAAGCUGUGUGUAAUGCAAGCAAUAAAAUGAAUGACUUUCUACCAAAUGGCACUCUUCAUGGCUGCAAACGUGACCCUAAACUACAGCAGUCUAUAAUGUGGCAGACUCAAGAGGGACACAAAGUUAACACUGCCCCAUGCUUUCCCCUGGAAACACCAAUGCCAUGCAUGAAGGGCUUUGUGGCUGCUAACCCAGGGAACAUUGCUUGCAGAACUUUAGAAACAGGAGCCUUGCCAGCUCUCAGGGAAGCUAAGAUGAAAAGUCUACCUAGAGUACAGCAGACUGGUUGACCUUUCAAAGGCCCUUUUAUCCUCGAGAGUCUGUGGUUUUGAUGUAGUGUUGAGUACUUUUUAACUUUCUCUCGAGAAGUGUCAGUAAGUAGAUGAAAAAUAAAGUCUGGUUCUGCACAAAUGCACUAAUUCCCCCAUGCAUUUUCAAAGAUUUUUAAAAAUAGAGAAAUUUUAUAGUCACAUAAUAAGUAAUAAUAAUCCAAACAUGAUGAGAAAUUUAAAUUUGUCUGCUUUGCAGAUCUAAGAGUUCAAAAUUGCUAUGAAGGCAUAUUUUGGGGGGAUACUAUUUUAUAUACAUGGGAGACAAGUCAUUGUUGCUCUGCAAAUAGUAGGAAGACAGCACUUUUUUUGAGUGAGUUUUUAAGAAAGUUUUUCGUGUCUUCAUGUUAAUUAUUUUGGAGGAAAUAGAGUCACUGGAUAACGAUGAUAACUUAAAAAUAGCUAACCUUUAUUAAAUGCAGUCUAUCUCAGUUAUCUAUUGCUAUAUAACAGGCCACAAAAUUUAGUUGCUUAAGACAAUAUUUUAUUAUUUCUUAGGGUUUUAUGGAUUGACUGGGCUCAGCUGGGAGGUUCUU